Molecule: long non-coding RNA, 30068 nt
Filed under: Populus tremula
Lineage: Eukaryota; Viridiplantae; Streptophyta; Magnoliopsida; Malpighiales; Salicaceae
Description: long non-coding RNA (PTRE_LNC000475)
Source: RNAcentral
CACCACGACCACCUGUUCCUUUUAGGAAUAGUUGUGGCAUUGUCUCGAAUAGAUCUCGUGUUCUAUACGUCCAUAGCCCAGAUCUCGAUCAAAUGUGACGAGUGACAUCUAGCAAUCUCUCAGCCUCCAAGGAGGCUCUCUCUUGUUGCUUGGUCUCUUAAGAGUUGUAAAUUUCUUUUACUUACAAUUUCUAUAUAAAAAAAAUCCUUCUAAGAUCUUGCUAUCCCUGGUUUGAAAGCAAAUCAGAAGCUACUUUUUAGAAAAGCAAAAAAGUUUUUAUAUCCAAUAGACAUGGCUUGUUUAAGGAUAUGUAGGGCUUGAUUCUUUGAUGAAAAUCCACACAAACUUUCAAGAUAAAUAUAUGAAAAUAUUCCCACCGCUUUUAAAAAAAAACAAUCAUUGGAAACUAAAAUAAAAACAUCAUAUAUACAGCAAAUGCAUUACACUAGGAAAAUCCCAAAUCAACGCUUCAAAAAAAUGUUUACACAUAACAAUCAAUAUGGAAAGAAAACAAUUCACACAACAAAUCAUCAACACAUCAAAUACUAAUUUUCUGCUAGCAAUAUCAUCAACAUAAAUAACUAUAUGUCUAAUAUAGCCUUGAAGGGUAUAGCUCAACUGAUCAGGUUCUAGAUUUGUUCCCUAGAGAUCACCAGUUCGAGUCUCACAAAUCUCAUGAUUAUUGGAGACUUACAUGGUUGUUAACUUCAUAGCCCAUAAGAUUAGUCAAGGUACGCACAAGCUGACCCGGACACCCACAUUAAUAAAAAAAAUAUAUGUCUAAUAUCACAUUACAAAUAUUCAAAGCGAUAAAAAAAUAUUUGUUAGGAUCCAUUGAAACAAGAAGGAAUAAUGUUGGUGUAUGUUGGUCACGCUCUUACAGGUUAUGUGUUGUUAUUGAUAGUGGUGUGCACUCCUCGUGUUGCUACUGGAACCUGAAAAAAUAAACCCUAAAAAAAAAACAAGUUUUUAAGUGGAAUCAAAGUUGUGGCCUUUGAGUUACCAUGGGUGAUGAUUUUAUUUUAUUUUUUGUUUGAUUUUAGGUUGAAAAUCAAGUUAAUUUCUAUUGUUUCUACUUGUUUCUUGGGCAGAUCAAGGUCGAGGCUAAAUGAAAAAGGUCAUAGAGAUUGAGUUGGCACUUGUGGUAGUGGUUGUUGUUGGAUUCUCAAAUUUUAUACACGCAAUAAAAACAUUAAAACAAAAUUAUUUAGGAGUUUUAUGAUUUCGUUCGACAAAUUUAGAGUUGUUUAGAAAUGUAUUACUAGAAGAUCUAAUCUUUUUUGGCUUUGAAUAAUUUUUUAAAGACUGGGUUGUUGCAAAUCACAAGUCGUCAAAUUGUCCGACCUCUAACAGUAAUUCACAUGAACCAUUCGUGAUAAUUUUUUUAAAUCCUUAAUUAGGAGAGAGAGAUUGUUACGCCUAAAGUAUUGAUCGAUGUCAAUCUAAUAUGGGGUUAAAAAUUUAUUUUUGAAAAUUUUUACUUGAGAAAUUUACAAAUUCUUACUUGAUAAAUUUCUUUUUGUACGCGGGGUUAAAAAAUAGUUAUGAUAAACAUGUGUUGAUCAAUGUCAAUCUAAUAUGACGCGGUCUCAAAAUUAAACAUGGUAAUAUGACACAUAUUAAAAUUAUUUGAUACAAACUAAUUUUUUAUGUUAUUGUAAGUAUUAACAAUGUUUGCAUAAUUUUUAUAGAUAAAAAAAAUUGAUUCGUCCCAUGGCGGAAAGUAGGAUAGCUAACUAGUUAGAAAGCUAAAAGAGCUCAAUGUCUCAUUGUGCAAAUUGCAUAGUGGAACUACUUUUCUCCCUUGGGUGGAAAGAUUUUUUGAAAAUGUUAAAUUUGAUCAUCGACUUUUUUUUUCACAAUUGAAUAUUUUUUAGCAUAGAUUAGAGCCUAAUUGUAUUUUUUUUUUUUUUGGGUGAGGGUUGAAUUGAUAGACAAAGAACUAAUGUGAAAAACACAAAUAAAAUAGGUGGCGUCUUUGCAAUUUGUUUACAAAGCUUAUUUAAUCCUUUAUCUUUUUAAGCUAUUAGGUAACCGGUUUUUAUAAUUGAUAUACAUUUCAUUUUGUCACGAGACUUCAUUUUCUCUUUUCCUUAGUUUUUUUGGAUGGAGAGAGAGAAGGUUACUGGAUUCUAGCUUAGAGAAAAAAGGUUGUCAUUAGAGAAGAUUUUGGCCACCAAAAGUAUAUUUUUAUGUCGAAAGAUUUCAUAUGAUGAGAGGAGUUAAGAUUAAUUUUUAAUUUUUGUACUUUUAGAACAUCUAAAAAACCAAAUCUAAACUCUGAAAGAUUUUUUGUUUCAGGUUGAUAUUGGGUUUUGAGAAGCUUUUUUUUGUUUGUUUGUUUUUGAAUGCCAUAGAUUGGUUUAACAAAGUUUUCAAAGUGUUUCAUAGAUGUUCUGGGUAAAAAAUAAUUUUUUUGGGUAUAAUAAGAACCUCAUUUUUUUUAGGCACGCUGGUGGCUAAAUUCUAGGCAUCUAUAAAAGAUGUCGUCUUGUUUUUACAGAAAAUUGCCUAAAACAAUUAAAGGCCCACAUGCGGGGCCUUUUAUGGGUGGGCUAGAUAUUAAGCCUGACUCUAUAGGCCCAACAACGUCUAGCAUCUUUCAAUUUUUUUUUAGAUUUUUUUUUUGUUAGGCUCUUUGGUCUUUUGUAAAAUAAUUUCUAAAUAUAUUUUUUAAUUAAUAAUCAUUCUCUAUUAUUUUUUUUUGCCCUUUUGAAAUAACGAUUGUUAUUUAAUGAAAUUGGGUGUUUUAUUUUUUUACAAAGGUUAGUACAAUUUAUUUUUAAUAUAUAUAUAUAUAUAUAUAUACAUAUUCAUUAUGUAUUUUUUUAUAUUACUUUUGAUAUAUGUAGUCUUGCAUAGUAUUUUUUUUUUUUAUUCAAUGAAUUUUGUGUGUGUCGAAUUCUAUUACAAAGUGAUUUUAAUAAGCAAAUUUAUUAGAUAAAAUCACGUGAAUAAUCUGUGUUGCGAUAUUAAAUAUUUUAAUUUAUAUUAAUUUUUCAAAUUUUUUGAAUUAUAUUUAUAUUUAUCGUUGAUGACUUUUUUGUAAAAUCUAUUUACAAAAUGACUUAUGAUUUAUUUGAUUUGAUGUGUGCAGAAGUUUUUUGAUUUAUAUUAAUUAUUUUUUUGAUACAUUGAAAAAUUCUACAUAUUCAAAUUUAUAUCAUAUAUUGGUAUUUUUUAAUUUGAUCAUUAUUCUUAAAACUUCUUAGUCUUUUUGCUUAACCUUUUUUAUAAAAAAAAUUAUUGUUUAUAGUUUUAUCUUUUAAUCCAGAUUAAUACUGUAUUAUUUAUAAAACCAACUUAUUUAAUUGAUUAAGAUAAUAACCUGAAUUAUUGUAUUUUUCUUCUUUUCCAAAACAUAUUGGCGAAUACCUAAAUAUACUAGCGGGCAAAUAAUACGAACCCGCAUCUUAGCGUGCGCACCAGCCUAAUAAUAUCUAUUUGUGGAGUUUCCGAGGAGAACCAGCUUUUUUUAAAAGCAUAAUAUUGCCGAUUCUCUAGUUGGAUGAAACGCAUAGAGUGGAACAUUUUAUUCUUUGUCCGCAAUAUUAAGUGGACUCGUUCCCCACCCUCUCUUUUUGAAAGGUGCAACAAAUCGCAUACCUGUCGUGAAUAUAUUAAAGUAUGAUUGUUCUUAUCUCUUACAUUUGUACCCAAAAAAAUCAUAUAUUAUGAAUGGUUUUGAGUAAAAAGAUGCAUAUGGGACAUGACAUUAUUGGGUUUCGAAGGCAAUCGGGGAAAAAUGAUGCGUAUGGGACAGCAAAAAAUUGAAAGAAAAAAAAAAGUGCAUGUGGAUACGGGGCAUUCUAGGGCUUGCACUACGCACAGAAUCCGAAGAUCAGGCUUAAAAUGAUUAUUUUUUUAUUUAAUUUGUUUUUUAAAAAAUAAUUAAACUUGUUUUUUUAAAAAAUUUAAAAUCAAAUUACAAUGGUUCAAACCGACUGAUUUUAAUUUAGUUCAGUUAUUUUAGAACAAAAUCACUUCAAACCAGCUUGGCUCGAUUUUUCUAUUUAACUUGGUUUUUUUCAGUUUGGAUUUGAUUUGAUUUUUUCAGUCCCGAACUUAUAAAAUCAAAACCAAACCAAUUAGUUUUUUUAAAAUUUUAAUUGAUUUAAUUAGUUUUUUUUUAUGGUUUAAUUUUUUCAGUUAUUUUUUUUAAUUUUAUCAAUUUAAUUAAUUUUUUAAAUUUUUUACUCGCUCCUGAUCAGGCCUUGGGGGCAUAGCAUCCUGUGAACGAAUAAACUGUUAUUCGACGGACUAUUUUAAUGCUGUCAAAAACUGUUCUGGGAAGGCUGAGAAAUGCUAAACCCAGCAUACAAUUAAAGGGAGUUGCUAUCGGCACACCCUAUCUAUCCAUCUAUCAGCACAGCCUUAUAUUUUUAUUUAUAUUAAAUACAUUAAUUGUCCUUAGAUUCCAAAAAUCAAACAGUUUAUUGGCUCUCGCAAUCUGACUUUUCUCUGCCAUAAAUCCAUGGUGGGUGAUCUGACUCUUCAUCUUUAUUUUAAAAGGUAUUAAAUGAUCUGGCUAUAUUAAGGAACUGUGAUGUUACAUGGCUGGAAUUUGUUGUGGCCUGAUAUAUCCAGUGGAUGUCAUGGUUUCGGUUUUAAUUAUUUAUAGCUAUAAUAAAUAUUAUUAAUUAUAGUGACUGGAAUACAGGGACAAUUCGAGCAUUCCAUGUGCAAAAUAAAUAUUAAAAAAAGGUUGUGCCAAUAGCCCCUUUCAUAAUUAAAAUCCCAAACUAACCCCCUCGAUUAGCACGCAUUAAUCUAAAAAUUAUGAUCCGUAAAACGUAUUUCUUUCAAUAAUAAUAUUCGCAAAACUUAUUAUUAUUAAAAAUGAUAAUAAUAAUAAUAAAUUAUUAUUAUGAUUAUUGUUAUUAUUAUUAUUGCUCCUCUUUGACUGCAAAGCGGUGGCAGGCAAUCCUUUUCUCUGGAAAUCACACCUCAUCCUUCUUAAAUUUUAAACCUCAACUAAUUACUAGAAAUCCCCUAUAUUAACUGUCUGCGCCUCUAGAAUUAUCAACAAACAAAUCGUUGAAUUCUUUUUAUCCUCUUAACAAAUCCAGGGCGUGCCUUGAUUGGAUGGGCUUAUGCUCGGCCUAGCAAUGGGCUGAUGGCUAUUCAGGCCUGAUCUCCGCCUUACGGUGGCGAGGGCUGGUGAGGUAAAAGCGGAGCAAGGACAACGUAUAUAUAAAUAUCUAGUAGUAACUUAUUUUUUCCUCUUUAUGAAACAAAAAUAUAUAAUUAUUUAAAUAAGUGGAUCCCGUCCUCUACCGACUUUAGUUAUUGUAUUGAAAUCAAGGAAGUAUAGUUAAUGUUAUGAUAUAAAGAAGAAGAAGAAGAAAGCAUGUGAUUUUAGCAAUUUUGACAACCUGGAUGAGCUGGAUUGAAGUGGUAGCAAACUUCUACCUCUCACAAAUCACUUUGAUCAACGUCCACCGCCGCAUAUCUUAAAAGAGACCCUUCUGAACCACUGUUAUUAGGAAGGUCUGGUCUUCAUAUGACACCUCAUGUCCAUCAACAUUCAACUUUGCGGCGAGUUGUGGUUUUGACAACUCGACCUCCGUCCAUAGCUUACUUCACCAUACCGAUCAACUUCUGCUUAGUAAUUAAAAAGCGUUUUUAUUUUUAUUUUUGGCAUUUUGAAGGAGUUUUUGAAAAAAAUUGAUUUUUUUAUUUCUUUGUUUUAAUUCUUUUAUAUUUUUUUAAAUUAUUUUGAAGAUCUAAUUAAAAAUAAAUUUUUUUAAAAAAUUUCAAUAUAUUUUUAAACUAUUCAAUUACUAUUUCAAUACCACACAGGAACACCAGCGCUGUAAAACAUCUUAACGAAAACAAGGGGGAGAGAAUUGAUGACUCAGAAAUAUAUUUUUCACAAACUAAAAAUAGCAUACAAGUUAUUGCGUGUUCAACUUGGUGAACUUACUUGUAACUUUUCCAAAAUAUAUUCAUAUAUAGGAGGACAACCCAUCAAGGUUAAGAAAUCAGAGAGUGCAAGUAACCAUCAAAAGAGAAGUAAUUCCGCAGCUGUGAACGCACUUUCAACAGAAACUCGUUAAUGGCACGUUAGAAAAUUGUCUUUAUUAAUCCCAAAGCUUCCAAGCAGUGACAGAGGGGAUAGUUCUCAAACCACCUGUGGAGGGGGACUAAAACACGGCGCACUCCGGCAACUCCCUGGAAGGUGCAAUUAACAGAAAAGUUUCAUUGAGCAUGAAUUCCUAUAACAUGGCUUUCUCCAUCAAUUAUCCAAGGCAAUGCGCAUGCAAUGAACCAAAUGGUUUCACUCUCAACUACCCUUCUAUGGCAAAGCAAUGUCUAGUCAAUAAGUCUUGCUGAAUAGGAAACAAUACAAAACAAGGGUGAAGACUCCUCAGCAACAAAAAAGGAAAAAGAGAAUAAGAUUUACAACUUUUGCUCCUCCCCCCUCCCAAUGAUCUAUACAUACAAGUGGGGAUGGAGGCUUCUCUAGUAGUAUACAUGUGCUUAGCAUCUAUUCAAGUUAAACUGAAGCUGGUUAGAAAUAAUUGCCCGAACCUGUAACUAUUUUCGAUGACGAAUCAUCAAAAACCCAAGGAAACCAACGUCCAUUAUCCACUCGAGACCAAGUGCACCAGCCGGUGAUUCAAAAUUGCUGGUUCAGAUCAACCAAAGAAACUCUCCAAUUUAGAUUUUCCCAGUUCCCACGAGGCAAGGGGAAUCCUACUAUGACUUUAAAGUGGAUUUGCUAUCAAAGAACCUGGCAACUGCCUGAUAGAGAUUUUCUUCCUCGAAAGGCUUUGAGACGUAUCCAUCCAUCCCACAUUUCAAGCACUCAUCAUGUGUGGCAUGUAUCACAUCAGCUGUCAUUGCUAAUAUUGGAAUAUGCCACUGGCCUUUUCUAGCUGUUCCUCCUUCUACCAUGGAUUCACCACUCAUCUGCUCAUUUGCCUGGCUCUCCAUCUGCCGGAUUCGACGAGUUGCCUCAAACCUGGAGGAGAAAACCCAUGUAAAUGGUACUUGGAAUGUAAACGUCAUGCAAAGCAUGCCAAUUGUACUUGCUUAGUUCCUGAUGCCGUGUAAACAAAUCUGUUAAGUAUGCACAAAAAGUGGUAGAGAAUAUGAGUCCUAAGCCCCUAGAUCACCAAUUUGUGUAUCCUCCAAGGUUUGAAACUUAUGGGAGCAUGAAAUUUGCUCUUUAAACUUAUUUUAACAAAUAAUGGAGCCUAGUUGCUUUUCAAUCAGAUGAAAAGAUACAAGAACCAGGCAAUUCAGAUCUCCAGAAACAAGGACCAAAUGCCCUUCCAUUCCCACUACUGCUCUGGUUGCCCAAAUAUGACGGCAAAAGCAUGGCUUCUUUUAGCCAAAAAGAUUACAUUGCUCCUUGCAAACCACAAAUUGGAGCAACUAAAAACACACCUGACCUAAUAAUUUCUCCACAUACGAACUAAAAUUUCUUAUGCAAUAUUGUUAUAUGAUGCCGAAAAGGUUCGUUAACAAAAAAAAUGGAAAGUAAAAAGAGAGGUAAUCAAAGACAUUGAUCAGUUUGGCUUUUAUGAGAAAGGGGUAUAGACAAAAAUAAUUUCAUUCUAUAAGCAACCAAGGAAGAAGAGCUGAAAAAUAAAGGACACUGCAAUCCAAAAUCAUAAAACAAAAUCUCAAAGUCAUACCCAUCCAUUUCUGGCAUUUGAAUAUCCAUGAAGCAUGCAUCAAAAGUGUGUGGUAGUUGAAGCAAUUUCAGUGCUUCUUUACCACUUUCAGCACACUCGACAUCAGCUCCAAACUUCUUUAGCGCACCUGCAGCAACUCUGCGGUUUACCUUAUUGUCAUCAACCACCAGAAUCUUCUUUCCACAGAGAAGGCUCUGAAGGAAAGAAGAUCCAUUUGGCAUGCAUUUCCCUUGUGAUCUCUUCUUGCCCAUGCCCAGCACCUGAAGAAGACAAGCAGCCACCAUACUUGCUCUCAAAGGUUUCAUGAUCACGGUAUCGGCAAAACCUGCUGCCUUUGCUUUAUCAAAUUCAGAAUUGGUAAUAUUGGUAGCAAGAAGGAUCAUCUUAGGAAACUUGAACGCAUGUCCGUUUUGUUUCCAGUCCAGUUUCCAUACACUUGAAACACCAUCCUCCCCAGAAAUCCAUGUAUCCUUCUCAACUAGAAUUAUAUCUGGCUGGAUUUUACUUCUGCAAUUUAAAACAAAGAGGUUAUGCCAAGCACAAGGUAGCAUGGAAUUUCAAAUUCUCAACAAAAUGUAAAUGUAGGAGCUCUAUCAAUGAUCUAUUUUUAUCGGCUAACUCACAUGUCAUUUUUAUAAAAACUAUUAUUUGAUACGUUUUUUAUUCAGAUCAAUUCUUUUAUGGUUUCUAUAUCAGCCAAAACUACAAGUGCUCGCACAAUAGAAGUGCACUCCAAAGAAUUUAGGAGACACUCCAUGAGAGAGUAAUUUUCUUUGAUUACCCUAUCAGGGGAAAUUUCAACCCAAACGUAUUUAUGAAAAAAGCUUACAUUAUUAAGUGAAGGGAAAAUAUAGCCUUUUAUACUUUUAACAUGCUCUUUCACAUAAAAACCCUGCUGCCCUUGAAGUAUGGGUUAAACGUAGGCCUAAAGCUAUCUUACUUUGAAAUUAUUUUGUGAACAUUGGAACUCAGUCUUGAUAGUUAGGCCAAAGCUGUCAGGAAGGACAAGGAGAGAAAAAAUCCAUCAACCAUCCCCAACCAACAACUCAGUGCAAAAAGGCUUUAGUAGAGAUCUUGGCAUUGCAAAAAUUCAAUUACAACUACACACUCCCAACAAUGUUCCUGAUAUGAAUUCUAUAUGAUAAACACACUGCAAUCUGAAUCUUGGGAGGUGAUGUGCAUCAUAGUAGCAAAUGACAUGAAAAUAAGUCAUUUCUUAGUUAAAACACAGAAGCCACAAUCUAGUAAACGAGCUUCCCCUCGUGAAGACACAAAGUGGCAUGAAAAGUGGAAUGAUUAACGUGUUUUGUCAUUAAGAUCGAACCAAAAGGCAAACCAUAGACAUCGGUGAUGGGCAGAAGAUUCACACAUGUUUCUUGCUAUUUCAUUAGAACCUUUCAAUUUCAUAAUUAAGUUAGAAUGAUUAGGGGCAAAGCCAGCCAAAUGAACUUACCCGAUGUUAGAGAACCAUUUUUCCCACAGCUACCAGCAGCCACCUUGAGGUUACUCACAACUUCAGCUAGGAUACCAAGCCUCUUCAAAUGGUAUCUGGUUACAGCAGCCCUAACUGGUUUUCCAUCAACAACUAAUGCUUUCAAUCCUCUAAAGCCAGAAGGCAAAUCUUCAGCAUUGCGUUUUUCCAUUUUGGUGAAAGCAUUUUUCUUGCACGUGCCAAAAACAGCUGUGAAUGAAAAUGUGCUUCCAACCUCAGGUCGGCUAAUAAAGCUUAUUUGACCACCCAUGAGCUCAACCAGACAUUUGCUUAUACUCAAUCCAAUUCCAGUUCCUCCAUAAUGUCUUGAUGUUGAACUGUCUGCCUGCACAAAGGGCAUGAAAACACGACUCUGGGCUUUUAAGGGGAUGCCAAUUCCUGUAUCCUCCACACACACCAUCAAAGUAAUAUUUUCAGAAGCUUCAUUGCUGGUCAUUACAUUUAUUGAGGCAUCAAAUCGGAAAUCUUCAUCGGAAAGAUGCUUAAAGACAUCCCAACUGUUCUGAUCAUCUGCUGCUUCACAACCACUUAAGGUAUUGUACUUUUGGGACCCUGAUACAAGCACACUUUCAUUGGACCCACCAAUUAAACAAGUGUCUACUUUUGUAUCUGUCGUGGCCUUGGCAUGUUCAUACAGAUGAACUUUAACGAAUGUAUGUCCUCUUUCAGUGAACUACCAAACAGAAUUAAAUGUCAAUUACAACAAGAGGUAUAAUUCUAAAGAAGGCAAUAAAGCUAAUGGUGAAAAAAAAUAAUUAUUGGAUUAAUCAUAAACUGCAUAGUAAAACAUAAUAUUUGUGCUAAGACAAACCUCUAUCACUAUUACUGUUGGCUAAUUGAUAAAUGAACUAACAAGAAAUCACACAUAUACAUUCUAGUAGGUUGAACUGUAUAACAAAAUUCAAGCAAUACACUAACCUUAACAGAGUUCCCCACCAGAUUUGUGAUAAUCUGUCUGAAUCUCCCAGGAUCACCGACAACAAUUUCUGGAACUUUAUCAGAAACAAACACUGCCAGCUGCACUUCCACAAUUGAUUACGCAACCAUGUUUCGGGCAUUUUUUACAAUGAGAUAACACAUCCAGAAUGCCACCACCAAUUGAUAUCAGGAGUCCAUGGAAAAGAAGAAAAAAAGAAAAGGUCAGAUUAAACAUAAAAGAGAAACUUGCAGUUUGUCUUUUACAAAAUCCAAAGACCAGACGUGAUAUUUCAACCCAAGGAAAAGAAUGAAACAUGUCUUUGGUCCCUUUAAGAGAAUUCAUUUCAGCUAACAAGAAAAGAUAUGAAUAUACUGACUUGCCCUUAUUGUGUUUCCCUAGGACUUACCUCAAUGCCUUUGUUUCUAGACUUCUCAGAAAACAAAGAAAGGACAUCAUCUACUAUGGAUCGAAUAUGGAAUGGGACUGCUUCCAGCUCUAGCUUUCCAGCUUCAAUUUUUGCCCGGUCAAGCACCUCAUUUAUCAAAGCUAUCAGUGCCUUUCCACAGACUUGAGCAGUUUGAGCAUAGUCCCUCUGGGUUGAACUUAAAUCCGUAUCUAGUAGCAAAGCAAGCAUUCCUGCAAUUGUGCACAGACCAUACCACUGAUUACGAAAAGACAAGAACCUAGAAUAUUUUUCACAUUCCAUAAAUGAAAAGGAGAGAUCUUGCAUACCAAGGAUGCCAUUCAUAGGUGUUCUGAUUUCGUGAGAUACAGUAGCUAGAAACUGGCAUCAAGAACACAAUGAUACUCAGGUAGGAAGAUGCUACAGCAAGAAAACAAGGGGGGUUCAGUUAUAUUCUUUACAGAAAUGUUGGGAAAAAUACCUGGGAUUUAGCAACAUCAGCAGCUUCAGCCUGGACUUUCAAAUCCUGCAUUUCAUGGAAAUCAUCCUCGACCUUUACAAUAUGAAUUGCUGCUUCGUACAAGAUGUAACCCACUAAUAAACCGAUCACAAAGAACAAGAAAGUUGUGGUGAGUGCAGUCCAUGAAGUGGGCGCCUUCUCGUGGUACCUGCUCAGAUUUCAAAUUAUAAGCAUCUGUAUGCUGGAAACUCAUUCUUCCUUUAUCUUAGGAAAUCAAGAUCAGUGAUUUGAUACAUUUACCUGCAUGUCAUCAGAUGCCUUCUGAAUGGAUCUCCAAAAUCAAGCUUGCUUUCAUGCAAAAGAGACAUGUCACCGUCUUGAUUUUGGUGACCAUACAUGAUUAAAAGGUCAGAAGAGUUAGUUAUGUCAUAAACAUUCACCAAAAUUGCCUGAUUCCCAGCAAGCUGUCCAAGUAAAUUCUCCACAAGGGACUCGACAUCAAAGGCUCCACCAAGGUAUCUGCUUUCAAUUUGAAAUCUAUAUUAAUAGAUGAACCAGAUUUUCUACAAAAUACAUGGCAUCAACCAAACUGUAAGGGAUGAAGCAUUCCAACGCAGGAAGCCCAAAUAGCCAGGAAAUAAAGGUGACGUGGAUGAAAUUCCAGCCAUAAUAUCAAACACUACCACAGGCCUAAGAGAGCAUUUGACUGUCUGUUUUCUAAUUGCUAAUAGUGAAAUGCAAUUCAAUAAGAAGUUUUAAAUUUCCAUCUCUAGACAGCUCAGGAGAGAUAGACUUGAAAAAUCAGAAAUUGGUUCAAAGCUGUAGAACAAAGAUCACAAUGAGGAGCAAAUUUCCAUUUAAACACAAAAAUAUCGCUGAAAUUCAGAGGCAGCAUAGUGGAAAUAAAAUUCAUCAUAUCCAUAUCGAAGAAACAACACCUCAAUCUAAAGUACACACCUGAGACAAUAAAGAUUGCCAAAUUUCCAUGUCAAUGACAAGCAUAUAGAGUAACAAAGGAUUUACCUUGCCAAAUAUUUUAAGCUAUUUUACAAAAAUAAAACAAUUGAAUCAUUUUGAAGCAACAAAACUGUCUCUGUGAAACAGAAUGAAAUUUUUUCUUUUUCUAAUAUACGAUAUUGUAGUUAUGCAGCAUUGCAGCAAGAAGAUAAGAAAACAAGGAAAAGGAGAGAUGAAACAAAGUCUCAAAAUGUCAUAUUUAUUAUGCGCCAACAGAUCAAAUUUAAUGGCAUCAAACAAAUAAUUUCAUCACACUAAUAAACCAAAAUGCGAAACUUUAAAGCUCAAAAUUAGUAUCCAAAAUAAACUGCUGAAGCAUAAAGAGAAUUUUUUGAGUAACAUCAUAGAACCAUGUUUUGUCGAAUCUUCUAGUCAGCCUAUAUAUUUUUCAAAUCGAUAUUGAAUUUAAUUGAAAAUGUUAAUAUAAACCAGCACUCACCCAGCAGAUGCCUCAAUGCGCUGGGCCACAGUAGGGCUUGGAGGAAGCUUAGACUUGUAAACAGGGAAUGUCAAUACAACACCGAGGUGAUGAGAACCUAGUAACCUAAAGGGGCCCGUCAAAACAGCUUUCCCGGUAGCCCUAGCCCUCAGUAUGUUUUCUCUGUCCUCCUGCAUCAUGCCAAAGAAAACUUAAAAACUAGAUACUAAAACGUAAAUGGUGUAAACAAGGGAUCCAAAUUCAAGUCACAGACUCAAAAAGUUACCUCCCCUGACAUCAUGUCAAGAGACUCAAUGUAGGAGACCGUCUCCUGAGAAAAUAUUACAGGUGCAUAUUCAUCUCGAAUGGGUGAAGGCUCCCUCUCCAUUGUCUUUAUUGUCCACCCAUGUUGCCUCUCAAAUUCCAGCCGCUCUGAAUUGACCACUCUUUGUGCAUAGGCUACGCCACUUAACAAUGGCCUCUCAAAAGCAGUUCUAGCAGUGUACUCAGCAAAGGUUUCCUGCAGUUUUUAUCAAAAUCAAAUCUCAGCAUGCACAAUCAGAGAACAAGGUAUCGAAGGAUGAAAGAGCUCCCUAGUCGUAUACAAACAUUUGACGAAGUCAUAUCGUGUUUUUUUAACGUCUUGCAAGCCAAAUCGCAAGGAAAUGUAAGUUUCCAAUGGCUUCACCAUAAUUUGUUGAGGAACAAACAGCCUAAACAACUUCAAAGCAAAAAAAAAAAAUACAAGAAGAAGAAGAAGAAAGAAAGAAAGAAUUCUUCAGAAAUCAAAGUUAACUAAACCGUGCAUGACUUGUGGCUAAAUCGAAGUGAGUUUCCAUUUCUUUAUUUUUUUUGUUAGGGAACAGAACAGCAAACAAACUGAGAUUCCAAAAUCAUCUUGCCUUCUUUUAUUUUUUGUCUUGAAUUGAACUUCAAAAUUCAACUAACAAAAACUGAAAUCAAAGUUUCAAGAGAAAGAAAGGAGUACAAACCUGGUCAAUUGCAGACGGGUUCUUGUAGUAAUGAAAAGUGGAGACAAGAAUGGCAAGGGCAUGAACAUGGUUGACACUAACAUUGAAUUGAUCUUGCAGCAUUCUAGCCCUUUGAUCACACAUGCUACUCAACACCUCCUUCCUCCUCACUCUAUUAUCAGCAUCCAUGCCAUUGUAUAUUGUCAAACUAAAAAGUGCCAUAGCCAUGACCCAGAGCAACAAAAUCUUGGGAAGCCAAGUCCUGUUGGCUUGUAUAAAUGUAUACCCCCUUUUGGUCCCCAUUUGCUGCCCAUUCAUUUUAACAGACACUGAGUGGUGGUAGCUUUGGUGUAUCUUCAACGCCAUAGCACAACAAGAACUAAAAUCUCUCAGUUUCUUCUUGAUUUUCUCCUUGUUUCUCUGACCCCCAGUUCAUAUCUAACAAGGAAAAAACCCAAUAACACAGGGACACAACACAGCCAUGUAUGUCUGAGGUAAUACUCUUUAACAAGGUAGCAAUGUUGCAGCUACCCUUUUUUCUUUUUCUGGUGUACAAAGACCUUUCUUCUUCUUCUGAUGUACAGAGAAAAGUGGCACUGCUGUUGCUUAACUACAAGUAAACUAUCAUUUACAGCAUUGUUUAGCGUGAUUUGAGCAAAAGAGGAAGACAAAAGAAAUUAGAGAGAUAAACAAAUCCCUCUCAAGAAACCCAUCUGAAGAACUGAAAUAAAGAGACCUGCAAUUGAAAAGAAAAGAGUUCUGGAUUGUUAAUUAGACACAAGCAUGAGGAGUCUCGAAAGGUAGAAAACAGCCCAAAUUCCAAAGACUCUCUCUUUCAUUCACUUCUCAAAACAGACUGUUUUGUAUAAAAAGAAAAAACACUAAUCAUUUUCAUUUCCAGGCGUGAAGAUUUUAGUAUUUUUAAUUUUAAUUUUCACUUUCACUUCUUUUUUUAACUAUGCAUGGGAGACAGGAAGAGAGAGGGGAAUAGUGUGCGCGAGAGGCAACAAGACAAGGAAGAAGCACGUUCACUGCUGUUUGUUUAGUAUUAUAAAAAUUAGCAGCACUAACUACAAAUCUAAACACAUAUUGACCAAAGAACAAGAACAGCGAAGCACAAGCGAGCAAAAUGCUUUCUAGAGAUAAGAGGGAGGUUGUUGAAAGAAGGGAACAAACUCAAUCAACAAUGGUGGGUUUUUCUGUAGUCCAUGAGAGAGAAAGGUGGAGGUGCUUUGAAUAAUGGCCAAGUUUUUACACGCAGGUUUUUUUAUUUAUUUUAACUUGAUUUGGACAGUCUUGAUCUUGGGUUUUGUAUAUAUUUAUAAUAUAAUGUUUGUGUAUAUGUACACUUUUAUCUGCCCCUUGCUUUUUAAAGCAAACUGAAUCGAAUUUUUAGGAUUUUUGGAGAUACGCCAGCUCUCUCCCUUCUUGCACAAUCUAUUAAACUAUGAGUUAUCACUCUUACUCUCUCUUCUGAGAGCCAUGGGUCUUCACUGACUCUUCCUCCCUCCCUCUCUCUCUCUCUCUCUCUCUCUCUAUCUCUCUCUUCUCUGUCUUUCUUGUUUAUUUUAUUAGGGCAUCUCCCACGCCAUACUUUCUCCCCCCUUCUUGUUUCUCUCUCUUUCUGUUUAUAGUUUGCAGUUCACAUUGACUUGACAUUGAUACGUUUUCCUUGUCUGUAUUUUUUUGGGUCUAGAAUACAACAAGAGGAUGCAUUUUCAACUCUCUCUUUUUCCUUUUCUGUGCUUGGAUUUGCAUUUAUUUGGAUGACUUUUUAUUUUUUUUAAAUAUCUGUUUUGAAAUUUAGUUGUAAUUAUUUUUUAAAGUGUUUUUUAUUUUAAAAUAUAUUAAAAUAAUAUUUUUUUAUUUUUAAAAUUCACGCAUCAAAAUGAUUCAAAACAUAUAAAAAAAUAUUUUUUAAUUAAAAAAAUUAAAUUUUUAAAAAUACGGUUAUUCCAUACUUUUGUCUAAUCUCUAGCUUGGGUUGGCAUUAAAAAUCAAGAUUGCUUGCUAUAGGAGCGUAUAUUAGUGUAUAAUGUUUUUUAAAAAUAUUGUUUAUUUAAAAAUAUUUAAAAAUAUUUUUAGAUAUUUUUUUAAUAUUAACAUGUUAAAAUCUUGCAUUAAGAAUAUAAAUAUAAUUCUUUUUAAGAAAAAUAUAUUUUUUAAGUGCACUAGCAAAUAAGCACGAAGUGGCUUCUAAAAUCCAAACAUAAUAGUAAUGCUCUAAAAAAAUAUUAUUAUUUUAAUGUUUUUUAAUAAAAAAUAUUUUUAAAAAUAUAUUAUACAUGACGUUACCAAAUAUGUAAUAACAAUUAAAAUUGCCGUAAACUUGUUAUCAAUAUAAAAUUAAAAUAUAUGGAUUUCUUAUCUUUAAUUUAAUUGAAUACAUAAAUAAACAUAACCUUUUCACACCUGAAAAAAUAAUAUAAAGAUAUAUAUCAUCAAGCAUAGCAAUAAUAAUAAGAAAAAAAAAAAGUUGACUUACUAUUGAAAAGUUGUAUUUGGUAUGAGUUUUGAGUACCUAUUUUGUGUUUGGCAUUAACAGUGUGUUUUUUUGUUUUUUAUUUAAAAUUAUUUUUUAUAUAUUCUUGGAUAGUUUUGAUGUGAUAAUGUAAAAAAUAAAUUUUAAAAUUAAAAAUAUUAUUUUAAUAGAUUUUCAAGUAAAAAACACUUUAAAAAGUAAUCCUUAUCACAUUCUCAAACAUCUACUAAUACAUAAUCCAUAACAAAGAAAAAAUCAUAUCUAGUUUAAUAAUAAUAUUUUCUUAGAUUUAAUUUUUUUAGUUCUUUUUUGUUUAUACUUUCUUUUUAUAUUAAAAAGUAUUUGAGAGCGUGGUGUAAAUUAUUUUUUGAAGUAUUUUUUAUUAAAAAAAUAUAUUAAAACAAUAUUUUAUUAUUAUUAUUUAUAUCAUCAUAUUAAAAUAACAAUAAAAAAAUAAAUCAAAUACUAAUUUAAAAAAAUCUUUAAAAAACACCAUUUUUCUCAAACAUCAAUCAAUCCAAAAAUUGACCUUUCCUUUGUUGUGAUUGCAUAUCCUACCAUCCAUUUCGACGGUCAAAUUGCUGCUCCUAUAUAAAAAUUAAAAAAAAAAUCAUCAAUCCUCACUUCCUUGUCAAAUGCUAUCAAGACCGCCGUGAAGGCUGACAUUGAGAGAAGAACAGUAAAUUUGACUCACCCUCUGAAACAAGUACGAACUGAAAAAAACCAUACGUGGUGGUGGUCCAGUGGUAAGAAUCUGGGAUCAAAAAAUUUGCUCCCUCUGUGAUCUCAAGUUCGAGCCCUGUAAUUGCUCAUAUGAUGGUUACUGGAGGCUUACAUGGUCGUUAACUUCAGGACCCGUGGAAUUAGUCGAGGUACACACAAGCUGGCCCGGACACCCACGUUAAUCUAAAAAAAACAAGUACGAACUGAAAAAAAAACCAUGGUUUAGUUCAUGAAUUUUAAAAAUAAAAAUCUGAUAAUUCAAGAUCUUCGUUUGAUUUUCACUCCGCAAAUCUCGUUCUCUCUCUCUUUAAUUUAUUUGAACUGUGCCUGUGAGUUUUCUUCUCCGUCCUUUAUUAUUAUUAUUAUUAUUAUUAUUAUUAUUGUCUCUCCCUCGAUUUCAAUUUUUCUUCAUCAUGUUGUUGUUUUGUCAAUUAUUCCUGUAAAAACUUAAAAAUGUCAGCUAACAACCAUACUUCCAAAUCUCAUUUAAUUUGAAGAUCUUUUUUUGUCAACUAUCCAUUUAUAAUUUCAACUUGUCAUUUAAUGUAAUAUGGUGAUGUAUUAUUGAUAAAAAUUGUGUGUUUGAAAAACUAGAUAUAAAUUUUUUUUGUUAAGAUAAAAAAGGUAAAGCAGGGAAAUGAAUUGUUCUGAUUGUUAAAGAAUCUUAUUAAUUUAAUAGUUUAAAUUAUUAGAUAAAAUUUUAAAAUAUAAUUUAUAUUAUUUAAAAAAAAAAAUUACCAGACAAAUUAGAAAUAGAAAGUGUUAGCUGAACAAGUUAAAACUAUACAUGAACAAUUGACAACGACACUAAAACCCGGGAAGAUAAUUAAAAUUUACCUUAAAUCUAUAAUUUUCUAAUAUAUUUUGUAACAUGAAACAAACACGCUAUAAAAUAAUUUAUGGCAGAAAGAAUCUAAAUUUGCAAAAUAAAAAUAAAUGAAUAAAGGACAGGGGCUAAAUAUCACUAUCGCAUAUCUUUGGGAUGUUGACACCGCGAAAAGGCCACGGAUCUCAUUCCCAACUAUUUUUUUUCUAUACCUGUCUUUUACAACUCUGCCCUUCCAUGUCAUGUAGUGACUCCACUCUCGUGUUCUAAAUCGACCCUAUUUUCUUUCCUUCUCGUGAUAAAAUAGAGAAAAAAAGGACGACGCAUAUUCAAGAUUUAUUUCUCAAAAAAACCAGACAGUAAAGAAGACGUUCAGUGAGAAUUUGAAAAUAUGAUGGUUCUGUUUCAAGUAUAUUUUACAUAAAAAAAUUAAUAAAUUGAUGUUUUUUUACUGAUUUUUUAUUAUUUUAAUGUAUUGAUGUUGGAAAUAAAAAAAAAUAUUGAUGUAUUUUAAAAUAAAAAUACUUUUAAAAAUAUUGAUGAAAAAAAAUAUAAAGUGAAGGCAUGGAAUACAAAUCCUUAUUGUUCGGUUGACAGAAUAAAAUAAAUUGGAACUAACCCCUUAAUUUAUAAGUAAGCACAUCAUUACACUUUUAAAUUGAUGAUACUUGAAGAACAUAAUCAAUAAAAAAUAUCUCAUAGUCAAUCACAAUCACGAGAUACUUUUAAAAUUUUGAAAGAUGAUUUACAGAUGGAAAACAUUCUAUAAAAACAUAAAUAAGUUGGAGAUUAUUACACAGUCAUUACACUUACAUUACAGAUUCCAAUAAAAAGUGAAGUAAAGUGAAGUAUGGUGGCGGGUUUGUUUAUUUUUAUGUUUUAAAAAAAAAAUAAUUUUUUAAUUUUUUAUUUAUUUUAAAUUAAUAUUAUUUUGAUGUGCUAAUAUCAAUAAAUUUUUUUAAUAUUAUUUUAAUAUAUUUUUAAAUAAAAAACACCCCAAUUAUAAUUUUUGUUAAUAACCUUCUUUUCCUUCCCUUAAUUGGUUGGAAUUGGGCUUUGUGUUUUUUUUUAAUUGGGUGAUUUUGGUUUCAUAACCAUAUUAUAGAUUUAAAAAUUUAACUCGGUUUAAUAUUUUUUAUUUUUAUUAGGUUUUUUUUACAUUUAAUUUCCUUUUCAUUUUCAUCAUUCCAAGUUAUUUUUUAAAAAGAGGUUUCAUGAUUUUCUUCGAUUUCCUUUAUAUCCAUCUAUCUUGAUCUCAAUACCAAGAUUGCAAGUUAAUAUAAACUGACUCAUAUUUUUUUUUUGGGUUAUUGUUUUUUUUUUAAUUCAAUGUCUUUUUAAUUUCAUCAUUUAAUAUUAAAUUGUUUUAUAAACAAGUAUCGUUGUUGUUUUUUUGUUUGCUUUUUAUUAGGCUAUCUUAUUGGUAUAAUUCAGAUCACGAGGUUUGGUAGGCUUACUUGAUUUACUAUGCUUUUUUUUUACUGUAUUUUUAAAUUAAUUUUAUUACGGCUUCAUCUUUAUACAUCAUCUUUGAUGAGAAUUGGUAUGCAUUUUUUUUCAUUUGUUUUCUCUUUGUUUAUCUUGGUCAAUGAACAUGGCCAUAGGAUUUCACUGCUCGCUUAAGUUAAUUAGGUUGUUUUUCUUUUUAUAAUUUUAAUCUACUAUCCAAGUCAUAGAUUUUUUUUUACUUAUUUAAAACACGCUUGCAUUGUUCGUAUAUUUUCCAAUGAACAUGGCUAUAGAAUUUGCAUACCCGCUUAGGUUAAUUUAGGUUGUUAUUUUUCUUUUUACAAUUUCAAUCUACAACCCAAAGUCAUAAUUUUUAUUUAUUUAUUUAAAAUACGCUUGCAUCUCCCAUAUAUUUUUUAGGUUAAAAAAAUUUGUUUGGCAUGCAGCCAUAACGCGGGGCCAUAGAUGUAGUUACAUGCUAACACUUAUCUGGCACUCAUGUAAAUAAAUAAGUAAAAAAAAGACUCUUUGACAAAAUAAAAUAAAAACAUUUUACUAUUUGCAUGAAAAAAAUUAUCACUCUAUUUUCUGCUUAAAAAGGUUCUAGUUGCUCAUUUUCUAUAUUCAUUUCCCCAUGAACAACAAACACUGAUAUAUGAUUUUGAUCAUUUAGAACACUCAUACAUUAAAAAUAACUCAUUUUUCAAGAAUUAUUUUUUGUAUUAAAUACAUUAUUUUUCAAAUACAAACGCAUCCUUGAAUAUAUACUUUUGGUUCACAGAUAAUGUGUAAGCGAACCCAUUUUUCUUGCAUAUAUAUGGUACCAGCAAGAGUUGUCCAUGUAGCUAAUGGUAACUUCCUGUUUCAACGAUUCAACAUUAAAAAAAAAAAAAAAAAACCCUCCUCUUAAAUUCGAAAUGAGACAAAACAUGAAAUGUUUGUCUUAAAAUUCGAGUAGUGAAAAUUGAAAAAACAAUAAAAGAAAAGAAAUAUUUACAUGGUUUUUCACCAAUCCUUCUCGGGAUGAGCAUGAAUCGUAACAAAGGGAUGAAAGUACAGCUGACAAUGUCGUGGCUGGAAAAACCCACUGCCAACAAAAACAAUGAAAUUUUGUAACUUGGAAAACACGUGGCAUCUUUGUAUUGUUUGGUGGUUAUAAUCGGGUCACGAAGGGCAUUAUGUGUAUCAAGAAUAAGUCAAAACAUGAUUAAUGGAAUUCUUGUAAAUUUCUUUACUUUUGGUUUAUGGAAUCUAGUAGGACUUUUAUUUAUUAACCGGGAUUAAACUAAUAUUGUGAAAUUAUAUUAUAAAUUAUACAUGAUUAUAUGAAAUUUAUGAAAAAUAAGGAUGCAAAGUGAUACUGUCAUUAAAUUAGGAAAAUUUUUAGAUAAUCUAUCCCGAAAGAAAAUAACUCUUGUUUUCAAAAGGUUUAAAGACGUGAUCCUUUGUAAAUACUUUAUAAGUUUAUAGUUCAUAGAAUCAUCUUAAACUUUUUUACAAGAGCCUAGUCAAAGACAAGAGUCUUCGUCAAAGACAAAACACUACUUGGUCACUAUAUAUGCUUGUCGAUCACAACACAGGUUGGUGAGUCAUUUUUAGUAUGAUGGGAAGAAGAAAUAUUUAAGGCAAGAUUAUUAAUUCUGUUAUGGUUGAUAUUUUGUUUUUUAAUUUGAAUGAUAAAUCUUGGUUUUGAAGUAUUUUAAAGUGUUGUUUUGUGGUAUAUAUAUAAUUUAGAAUAUCAAUUUAGCAAAAUAAUUUUAAUUUAAAAACAAAUUAACUUAAAAUCAUACAAUUUAAAUUCCAAACACAAGUAAAAAUAUGGGAGUUGACUUGAUGUGAUAUGAUCGAUUCGAUGAGUUCAAAGAUAAUUUGAACAACUGGUAAAAAUAUUUUUGACUAAAAAAGUUCAAUACGAUAUAUUUUUUUAAAAAAAUACUAAGGUGACAACAUAUUAGAUCGACCCGGAUCAUGAUAUCAUAAAACAACUUAAGUCUACUCGGGUUAACUCGCAAAACUUGUGACCCCAAUAAUAAGACUGAGAUAAUUUCAUAUAAAACAAACUGAAAUAAAAUAAAAAAGCCAAAUUCAUAACCAACAAAAUGUUGAAUAAUAAAAUUAAAAAAUAGAAAAAAAAACUAUGUCAAUUGAGUUAACCCAUCAAACUUAUAACAUGGGUCUUGAGAUUGAGAUAACCACGAUAAAUUACGAAGUACAUUCUUUAAUAAAUCAGUGUUGAAAGAUAGAAUUAAAGAAAAAAAAACAUAUUUAAAAAAAAUAUAUAUUAUUUGGACUGAACGGAAUGGCUAGAACAUAACCGGAAUGUUCCAACUAGAAUUGGUUGGAAUUUCUAGAGCGGGCUGAGAUUCCGAGUGAAAUGAAAUUUAUUCUUGUUUGUUCUGUUUUUUAAAUUGAAUCGAGAUACAGUGCAUUUUGGACAGAACAAAAUAUAAUUGACAACUUUGAUUUGAGGGAUUGAUUGGAUAAUGUUAUUAAACUCGGUCUAGCUUGACAGGUAAACUCAGUGAUCUAUUAACGUGAUUUUUCCCCAACUAGAUUUUAAAUUAAAUCAAGUGGGAGUUAACUUGAUCUGACCAAAUUGAGUAUGUGAUUCAACCAAUGGCCCGAUUGAAAUCUAGUUUGAUUUUUUUAAAAAAAUAUCAUUUUAAUUUUUUUAACUAAAAUGAUAUAAUUUUAAAUUGCCUCAAGUCAAUUUACCAACCAAAACUCAAGGAGUGGGAAGGUCUAAUAAAUUUGCAUGUUUGGGUGAGACUAUUGGUGUCUUUCAGAAUGUGUUAGAAGUUGAGGUUGGUCCAUGAAACCAUAAAAAAAAAAAAACACGAAAAGAAAAGAAAUACUAUUUUUUAAAGGUGAUAUUUGUGCAUGGUUAGAUUAUAUAUAACUUCCACCUCAACUUCUACCGCAUUUUCAAAUGCAGGGCUUCCUACGAAAAACUAACUCAGUUGUCAAAAUUGUCGAAGGAAAUUAUUUUUUUAAUAAAAAAACAGAGUUCAGAUAACAUGUAUAUUACCCAACGCAGAGAAAGAGGACGACAUGAUCAUUCACAUUCAUUGAACAGAGAGGGAGGGAGGGCAAAGAGAAAGAGGACGACAUGAUCAUGAUCAUUUAUUGAACAUAGAAAGUUAGCAGGCCACAUGGCCGACAUCUACACACUUACUUUGAGUGGCAACAAAAGUUUCUACAAGAGAAGAGUCGUCUUAUAAGCCAUUGCUAGCAGACAACGCCCAGGUCACCCUCUCCCCUCCCCGUAGUCGCUUUGCCUCUGUUGUGUUGAAAACAAUGGUCCCUAAGAAAUCUCACACUUAUUCCAUCGUAAGAUAUCCUUUUUCAAAGAACAACCACCAUCAACUACUGUUUGUAUCUCCUUUCAAAGAUAUACCCAUCACGUCAAACCAACUAACAUAUCCAUUGUGGGGACGCGUUAGGUUUUAUACCAUCCUCUCUCUCUCUCUCUCCCUCUCUCUCUCUUACACACAGUGCUGCUCAUGGAGGUGCUCGCUUCCCUCAGCAAAGAUCCUGGCUUGGACUGGGCCUCUUCUCUUCCUCUUCAAUGUCCUGCCAUGGCUAUGUUGUGGUCCCGUGGUCAGGCUUUCCUUCUCCCAUGUGAUGCUCUUCGACUUGAAUACGGGUUAACUUGUUAAUAUUCACAAGUAUUUUUAUAAACUUUAUUUAAUAUAUUUAUACAUAAUAAUUCACAAAAUAAUUUUUAAUAUUAUUAUAAAAGCUAUAAUUUUAUUUGAAAACUAUUGUAAGACUAUAUAAUAUUUUUAAUAUAUUUUUAUUCAUAAUCAAUUCAACUAAAAAUAAUUAGAGGGUAAUAUAAAAGGAGGUCAAGUGUUAGGUCUAGGAUGGUUAGGCCACGCAUUCGGCAAAAAAAAGAGGAACCGGGUGCUUAUGAGCCUGUAAUGCCAUGCACCUAGCCUUUAAUUUUUUCUCUUUUUAAUGGAUGGACAACACGUUGUUCAUCCAAUUUAUUUUUAAUAAAAUGGAUAACUUGAUGUCCGUAUGGAUAAACAACACGUUAUUAUCUGGUUCAAAUUAUGACCAUUAAAAGUUGAGGUUAGGGUUAUUUGAUCUUUGAAAAACUCAUUUCUCACUUGUUUUCACCCGAAAAUACUCAAAAAAUAUCAUAACAACCUAUGUAAAACUGUUUUUAACCUCAAAUACCAUAAAAUCAAUUUAAAAUCCAGAAUUAAAUGAUUCAAAAACGCUUUAACCUAUUUUUUAUAGCAAGAUAAAAGAAUCAAAUUAGUCCUUUUGAGCUUGAUUUUCAUGGAACUCCACUCUUUAAAAAGAAUCUAUUGACAUUAAAAUCAAUUUUUUUUAUUUUCAUAGAAUGGGUGAAUGAAUAUUUUAUUUCUUGUCUUUCUUUUUCUAGUAACUUUAUCUCUCUUCCCCCUCAAUAUUAGGGACUAAAACUCAAAUAAAAUAAAGUUUAGGAUAUAGACAUAAAAUUCUUAAAUAAUAUUGAUCAAGUAUAUGUAAAAAUUAAAACUUCAUGAUCAAAUUGAAGUUUUUUGAGCCCCUUGAACAUUGAAAAUUGAAAUGCAUUUUUUUCUUAAUAUUGGUCCUUAUUCUUUCAAUUUUUUUCCAACAACACAUUAAAAUUAUUUUUUCAUAAAGUUGAUGUUCAAUUCACUUACAGAACAUUCACAAAGACCCUGUAUAUGUGAUAGAGAAUAAAUAAAAACAAAUUAUAUCACAUAAAUUGACGCAAACAUCAAAUGCGAUGAAAAAAAGGUAUCGCUGAAGAAUGAAUAGCCAUUGUGUUUUUGUGAGAUAGCCCACGGUAAAAGUGGGUUUUGUUGUUUAUCGCUAAUUGUGUGAUCGAUGAUUUACUUCCAAAAUUCAAAUCAUGAUUGCAAUUUCAAUUUAUUUAAUUAUACUGCGUAGUUUGUUUUUAUAUUUUAAAAAAAUUAAUAUUUUUUACUUCAAAUUAAUUUUUUUAAAUUAUUUUAAUAUAAUAAUAUUAAAAAUAUUAUUUUAAUACAUUUCUGAAUAAAAGAUAUUUUAAAAAGCUACUCUAAUUUUAUAUUCAAAAUACUUUCCCUGCUACAACAUAGAAUUUUAAGUGGUGGUUGUCUAUAAUUAUACUAAUUUCGAGUGAAGUAUUGUUACAAGUAUAUUGUAUAGUGAUAUUUAUAGCAAUUAUCUUUAUUAUUCAUCAUUGACAAUAUUUAUUUGACUUUAAAAACAUUUAUUUCAACUUAACUAAAAACAUUUAUAAUGGUUCUAAAAGUAUUUAUUUCAAAUGUAUUAAAACAGCAAAUGCUUUGGAUCCAAUGUUGGUGAAGACAUAUCACAACUGUCACUAAACUGACAUGCUAUGUUAAAACAUGAAAAAUGCAUAAAUAAAAAGUGAAUAUUUUGACUACACACACACGAGGGUAAAUUUAUUAUUUUAUCUUAUUUUAUAUUUUUCUCAAAAACUUUAAAGCAAUUGAACUCUUGAAAAUGGUCUCGUUGCGUUCGCUUGUUUCUCUAUUCCAUAAUUUAUUAUCUCUACAUUACCGUUAACAAGCACAACUCCUUGUAAUUACGGAUAAAAUAUCUAUAUUUACUCUUUUUUUUUUUAUAUAUAUAUAUAUAAAUAUCAACUUCCCAUUUUAACCUUUAAUAGGCCUUCGCAGUUAUUGAUAUAAUUUAUUAAUUCAUAUAUUUUUAAAUUAAUUUUAGUAAACAAGGCAUUAUCUUUUUAUUUUUAUUAACAAAUUUUGUGAUAAAAAAUUCUUAGCUCGUUUUUCAUUAAAAAUAAAAAUAAUUCGUAAUCAGCAUCUUAGUUCUUUCUUUUUUCAUUAAAACUUAAAUUGAUGCUGUCGAUAGCAUACAGCAGGCAUGAUAACCAAUAUAUUUAAAUAAUGCUUAAUGGAGAAUCUAUUAGCUAGGGUUAGCAGUGAAAAAUCCAUUGCAAAGGAAGAUGUUCCUAGCUGAUCGCAGCUUUACCAUUGCCAGUUUGUGAAAAUUGUUUGUCUUGUGAGAUAAAUGAGUCAUCGUUCUUUUCAUUAUCAACCACGACCACCUAGAUCGUCCCUCACUCGAACCCAGCCUUCACCACCUUGACAAUCACCCACGCCACCAACUCUCAAAUCAACGACCACAGAAAGCCACCUAGAUCGAUGAUGAUGCUGGAAGGGGGUCAAUGAUGAGGAGUGGCUCGGCCAGGAGAGGAACGGUCACGAGCAGGAGAGGGUGAAAACUGUUGCGGAGACAGCUCCCAGUGGUGGUUCCGGUGGGGAUUAAUAUAUAUGUGGUGGUAGUCGGUGGCUAUUUAUGGUUGAUUCGAAGAAUGUGGUUUCAUGGCUUUGGCGGUGGUGGCGAGGGGCAGUUGAGUUAGAAUUUCUAGAUGGCCAGAAAAGGGCACGGAAAGGAAGAAACAUUCAGGACAUCCUAAAUGAAGAAUUGUGUCGUGGAAUAACUGGAAAAAACGAAACAAAGUCGGAACUGUUGAUCGUGCUAACAUAGCUAUCCUCUUUGUGUGCGCGGUUUCAUUCCUUUGUUUCGAAAGGACACGGAUGGAGAAGGUGAUCAUGAUGAAUCUAUCAUAGCGAUCAUAAUAGAAGGAGAAUUCUUAUAAAAUAAAAAAUCACUUUACAUUAUUAGAGAUUAAGCUUUAAUGAAAUCAAGAAUAUUAUUAUCUUUUAUCUUUUCAGUAAAUUUUAAAAGAAUUUGAAAAUCUUAUAUAUUUUUUAAUUCCCUUUAUUUAGAAAUUAUGACCAUGGCUUUUUUUCAACCAAUAAUCAACUUAUGGAUUGACCAUGUUCCUACAUUGCAUAACAAGCUAAUAAAUUCAAAUAAAAAUAAUUUUUUUUUGACUCGGCCCGUGGGACACCUUAUAGAACGACAUUAUUUAUUAUGUCAUUGUCUUAAAGGCCACUUGCAAACGACAUUGUUUUUAAAAGAAACAAAAUCAUAGCCUGUGAAGUAAAAUUACAUUUGAUCUUCCUGUAGGAACUGCAGCAUUCAUGUCAGCGGUCUUAUACAUAUAUAUAAAAAAACAUACGAGCCAGGCUCAGAAUCAAAGGCAGGGAAAAAGACAAGACAGGUCAGGCAACAAGUUACAGAAAGUCUUCGUUGCGUAUCUACGUACCUUCAUCCGAAUAUUAUCUUUUUAGUUAAAAAUGUCUAUAAAUUGAAAUCCAAUGUACUUAGAAUAAGUUCCCAGCAAUCCGAGUUGAUUUGAAGAUAUGUGCAGAAUUUUUUAAAGCCACAGGCCAUCAAGCCAGCUUGGGGCUCUUUCAUGAUUUGGUAUAUAUGUCCAUCUGAGGUCCCGUAAUAUGCGAUACGAUUGGUUGUAUACCAAAUCCUUUUGAUUUGCUCCCAAUAAAAUAAAAGCAUAGAAACCAUAAAAUUCGUUUGACAAAGCAGCGGAAACGCUGAAUACAAAGAUGCUGAUACUUGAUCGACUAGUCAAGACAAGAAAAUUACUAGGUUCCAUGAUCCAAAAAUAUGCCCCAAACUCGUGGUAGCUAUGCAGCCUAUUAUUAUUAUUAUUAUUAUUAUUCUCAUGUUCAUUUUUCCAGUCUGGAGUAAAAUUCACAUCUUAAUCCUUUUUCCCAUCACUCCUCAUCAUUGAAGUGUUUGGUAUAAUUGUUUUUUAUUUAAAAAUACAUCAAAAUAAUAUUUUUUUAUUUUUUUAAAAUUAUUUUAAUAUUAACAUAUCAAAAAAUCUAAAAAUACUAAAAAAAUUAAUUUAAAAUAAAAAAUUAAAAAUAAAAUUAAUUUUUUAAAAAAUAUUUUUUAAAAACACAAAUAAAAACCAGAUGAAAUUUCUAUUCCCCAUCAUUAGGUGAAGUGGAUGUACUACAUGAUCUUCAAAAAGCAUAUCCCGAACCUGGAUGACUCGAGCGAGGUGGGUUAUAGCUUGGUGCUAUAGCCACUAAGCUACACAGUAAAUAAACAGUUCCAGCCACGCAAAUGUCUCAGUAUUGUUCGGCACCCAUCAACUCCAUACUCCAGUUUUGCCCUGAGAGUCUAUGAAAGGUGAGAAUAUAGCUACAUGUCAUUAAGGGAAGGGAAACAAAAUGAGAAAUAUAACUACGGCAUAGAUCAUAUUUACUAAGAAUUGGCUUGAGAAAAUCACGAGAAAUAUACUUUAAUUGAUCAGGUUUUAAGUUUGUUUUUUAAAAGUUACCAGUUCGAGUUUCAUAAACCUCAGGACCAGUCACUAAAAAUUUACGUAGUUAUUAACUUUAGACCUCGUGAAAUUAAUUAAGGUAUCCACAAACUGAUUCGGACAUUCAUGUUAAUAAAAAAAAAAUAGCUCGAGAAAUAACUUAAAUCAUUGAAUCAUCAUGUCAAUAAGCAAGUCAUCUAUAAAUAUGAAUUAAUUAUUUUUAUUAAAAAAUAUCAUUUAUUUUUUAAAAAAAAACUUUAAAGUUAAUCCAACCAAGUUUUACAUGCUUUUCAGCUCAAAAAUAUUUUUCCAACCUCAGCUGGGUUUAACACCUUGUAAGAAAUAAUAUUGAAAAGACAGAUGUUGGCAAGCAGCAUAUUUUAUAUAUACAGGAAAAGAUGGGCUUGGCCCAUUCCAAUGUAUCUGUUCGACACAAAUUUGCACUCAAUAACAGGAACACUCCUGGGGCCGAAAUGAUUUUAGAAUCUCCACAAGGACUACUACUUGUCUUUUCAACUGAAAGAAGAAAGCGGAAAGAGAUUCUUAUCCUUUAUAAAACGCUCCGUUUCCAUGAAAUAGGUGUCUGGAAGUGACUAGGAUAAAAACACACGCAAGCUCGUUAAUGAGAUGACUAAACUUGAAGGUUAUUUUUUUUUAUAGAGUGUGGUGUUGUUGUUUUUAAAAUAAUUUUUAAUAUUAAAAUUUAUAUUAAUAAUAUAUUUUUAUAUUUUUUAAAAAAUAUUUUUGACAUUAACACAUUAAAAUAAUUUAAAAACAUAUUAAUUUGAAGUUAAUAAAAAUAUAAAAAAAUUUCAAUUUUUUUUAAAAAUAUUUUUAUAACACAAAAACAAACAGUUCAAGUAUCUACCAAACAUCAAACUGAAUUAUUUUAUUGAUAAAUUAUAAGUUUCCUCAAAACUAGACUACUCCAUAGCUUUGAAUAAUGAACUACAACAAACCUAAUUUCAUUAAACGUUAUAUAAUUCAAAUAAAAUUUAACAACUUGUUCUAAAUUUUUAAAUCGUGUUAAAAAUAAAAAUAUUUACGAUAAUAAAAUAAAAUCAAGCCAUAAUAGACUAGUAGUAAUUGAGACCCCUUCCCCACUUGAGACGAAACGGGAAAAAAACUAUAUCUUCCCAUUUUUUUACUCCUGAAUUUAUAAUCAAACAUGCCGAAUAAUAAAUAUUGAAAAAUAAGAAUGUCUUCUUCUUUUUAACAAAGCAGCCACUUGAUAUCCUAGUCAGGCUAAUGAAUGUUCUUAUAGUACCUGUUAAGAAUUACUUAAUGUACAAAAUCAAAUUUUAUUAUUUUAUUUGUUAUAUGUUUUACUGUAACAACUUAUAAAUAUCACCAUAUAAAAUAAUACUCGUUUAAUUUUUGCAAUUAAUAUCAGUUGGAUAUUUCAUUUUUCUCACACUAUAGUCCUUAUAACUUUGUUUUCCUUGUACUUCAAUCCAUGUCAAGAAAAAAAUAAUUUAAUCCCUGAAAUUCUUGCAACGAUUCAAUUUAGUUUCUAAAAUGUUCUCUUUUAAUUUUUUUCAUUAUAUAUUGUUUCUAUAUUUGAGUCCUAAAAUGUUCUCUUUUAAUUUUUUUCAUUAUAUAUUGUUUCUAUAUUUGAGUCCUAAAACUUUAUUUCCACUUGUGUUUCCGUCCAUUAAUAUUUUAAAAUAAAGUUAUAUUUAGAUAAAUAAUUAAGAUAACAUUUAAUAAAUAACUUGAUUACAUCAUUUUCUUUAAAUGAGAUUAGAGCUUUAUAUGAUAAUUUUUUCAAUUAUUUUAUGAAUAAUUGUAUAUAAAUCUAAUAUAUAUUUUUUUCUUAAAAAUAUUGCACAUGAAUAUUCAAGAAGAGUAAAAUAUAUAUUUUUUUGUUAUCAUAAAUUUUGUAUGUAAUUUUCAUGAAAUAAUUAUUCUUUUGUUUUUUCCAAACAAGUGUCUAAAAACUUAUCACCACAUGAGUUUUUUAAGAUCAUGAUAAGUUUUUAAUUAAAAAAUAUGGUUUUAAUAAAAAAUAUAUGUUUUCUUCAAAAUAAAAAAAUAAAUGAAUGAGAAAUAAGAGAUUUUGACUAAAGAAAUAUAUUUUUUAUCACAAAUUUAAAUUAUUAAAACUCUUGUGAAUAUUUAUUUUAAUUACAUUAAGUUUUUAUUGAAAAAUCAUGAUGUUGAUAUAAGUGACAUGUUCUGUUAAAACAUGAAAAAUGCAUAAAUAAAAAAUGAAUAUUAUGACUAAAGAAAUACAUUUUUUUCCUCAAAAACUUAAAGCCUUCAAACUCUUGAAAUAUUUAUUUUAAUUGUAAUAAAAAUAAAUAAAAACCAACUUUAAAAAUGGUCUCGUUGUCUUCGCUUGUAUCUCUAUCCCAUAAUUUAUUACCUCUACGUUACCGUUAACAAGCACAACUCUUUAUAACCUAUACGGAUAAAAUAUUUAUACAUGUAUCUAUAUAUAUAUUUUUAUUAAUAUAAAUAUCAACUUAUACCAUUUUAAACCUUUAAUAGGCCUUUGCAAUUCUUGUUAUAUUUUAUUAAUUCAUAUAUUUUUAAAUUAAUUUUAGUAAAAAAGGCAUUAUCUUUUUAUUUUUUAUUAACAAGUUUCGUGAUAAAAAAUGCUUAGCUCCUUUUUCAUAAAAUAUAAUAAUAAUUCGUGAUCAACAUCUUUAUUUUUUCUUUUUCAUUAAAACUUAAAUUGGAAUGUUUUCGAUAGAAUACAGCAGGCAUGAUAACCAAUAUAUUUAAAUAAUGCUUAAUGGAGAAUCUAUUAGCUAGGGUUAGCAUUGAAAAAUCCAUUGCAAAGGAAGAUGUUCCUAGCUGAUCGCAGCUUUACCAUUGCCAGUUUGUGAAAAUUGUUUGUCUUGUGAGAUAAAUGAGUCAUCGUUCUUUUCAUUAUCAACCACGACCACCUAGAUCGUCCCUCACUCGAACCCAGCCUUCACCACCUUGACAAUCACCCACGCCACCAACUCUCAAAUCAACGACCACAGAAAGCCACCUAGAUCGAUGAUGAUGCUGGAAGGGAGGUCAAUGAUGAGGAGUGGCUCGGCCAGGAGAGGAACGGUCACGAGCAGGAGAGGGUGAAAACUGUUGCGGAGACAGCUCCCAGUGGUGGUUCCGGUGGGGAUUAAUAUAUAUGUGGUGGU